CCCCAUCGCUGGCAAAAGGUUAGAGCUGUCGGCAGCAGCAAUUAUGGUUAAGUUAAAAAGACUCAGAAAAAAUAGAAUGACAGUAGAGGAAGAUAAGGCAAAAAGAAGAGAUACAGGACAUGGCACCUUGGAUUGUAAUGUUUUAAACCCUCCCCCGUCAGAUUAAAUCUUACAGAUGCUUUUAUUUUGUAUUUUAUAUGUCAUUGAAUUUGGAGAAGAUGAAAUUUGAAAACUUUACAUUGGGUGAAAUGGGUAUUAAGGUUGAUAGACUUGGAAAUGACUAAUGCAAAAUUUAGUGUCUUGUGGGGCUUGAGCUGAAAGUAGUUAAGAUGUUCUUUUCCCCAUCUUUAUAAAGUUCCAAAUUCCAUAUGCAUAUCUAUGGGAAUGGUUUCCUUUUUCUUCUUACUUCUUAUGUGAAACCAAAUUCGAACGAUUAACAAAGUGGAAUUUGCAUGGAGGAGAGGAGUUAGGGUCGACUUCUCACAUUUAGGCUCCGACUGACUGGUCACUUGGGACAAGUUGGGUUAGGAUUUGUCUGCCGAACGGAGGGGGCUUCCUCUGGCAAAUAGAGGGCAUCAGUGGUUAAAUGAAAUUUGAACUUUAUUGAUAAUAAGGAAAAUGUUAAGGCAACAAGAUGAGAUCGGUUAAAUCCAAAAUAUGGAUCGUGAAAUAUGUAUGAUGAAAUUUAGGUCAUUGAAUGAUAAUAUAAAUAAAUAAGAUUAAAAUAUAUAGAUACAAAUAAAUAAGAUUAGGUUACAAAUCAUAAAAUUUCAAAUUAUAUAUGUGAGAGCACCUCAUUAGUGAUAUCUUUUAUGUACCAAUUAAUAAAAAUUAGUUUGUUUUUGUAGAUAGACUAAAGAAAAAAAAAUCAUUAAUAAUUAAAUUUUAUUUGAAAACAAACAUGAUAAUUACUUUUAUUGUACUAUCAAUUUGGUUUUUUUCUUUUUCACUCUCCAUUUUUCCUCAAAAAUAUUUGAAACUCUAAUUUUUUUUUUUUUGUAAUAUUUUUUAUUUUUGGGUUUUGGUUCCAACUUCCAAGAUGGUGUACUUAGGUUGUAAAGUAUUUGCCUCCAAUUAGAGACUAAGAUCCUAUCCUCUUUAAGGGUCUCUCAAUCAAUCAUACUCCAUGAAUUGACAUUUUUUACUUAGCCAAAAAUGUCUCUUUAUUUCCGGAAUAGAUACAAAACUCCGGUGUGGUUUGGAGAUAUAACCUUCAUUUAUACAAAAAUAGAAAAAUAACAACCCGAUUUUCAUGUUUAAUUAAUUAAGAUCAGAUUUUUAAUUUACAAAAAAUAAUUUAUUUAUUUAUUUAUUUAAAUAAGGAUUGGUUUAUCCUUCUUUGCAUAGAGAUUUCUUAUCCUCUUGUCAAAUUAGAUUAUUUAAACACAAUGUAUCAAAUUAUAGAUACAAUUAGAUGUCUUAAGAAAAAAAAAUAGAAAAUGCAAAUUUUGCCCACUCAAAAACAUAAAUUUAAUUUUAAAUUUUUUAAAAGAUAAAAAAAAAUUAUACUUCAAUGCUAUUGAGAAAAAUAUCCAAAUAUAUUAGGUUGAUAAUUUUGAAGGCAUCGAGUUCAAUGUACUAAAUGUUUUGAGGGUAUGGAAACAAAUGAAUAGCCUAAAAGAUACAAACAAAGAACAAAAUUAAUAAGAAGAAAAACUUAUCAGUUGAAGCGUGACAAAUACCAUAUAGAUUCACCCUCCUCGAAGACGAACUCGGUGCACUAGGGUACCAGUGGUUUACCUCUAGGAUUCAACAGUGAGAUCUCGCCUUGGGUGCACUCUGUAAGAGAGAUGUGUAUAACUCGGGUUUUGAAAAAAUUCCUCUAGAUAGAUGUAUGAAAAUACUCUCUGAAAAAUUAUAAAAUUGGUAUUCAUAUAUAGAGAGUGAGGGGUGACGUGUUUUUAUAGGUCAUUAACACAGUCCCAAUGAGACUCUACUUGUAAUUAGAACAUGAUUCAAAGUAGAAGGGGAAUCUACUUAUAAGUGGAAUAGGACUCCACUAGCACAAUCUUAAUAGGACUCUUCCCAAAAAUAUAAGACUAAUAAAAUAAAAAUUAUUUACACUCUUCCUACAAUCCUCUAUAGAGUGUAAAGGUAAUUUUUUUUUUUUUUUUUUUUAGGAAAAAAAGAAUCCAAUGCAUCAGUACUGGUGCGUAAAGGCUAUAAACCAGUCUUCAGACAAAUAAGUAUUGAAUCACAAAACAUAGUGAAAAUAAAUUUCUAUGAACUAGUGUUUCUUAAUGUAACUCAAUGGACUUUUAUCCACAUUGGUUUUCUCAACUACACUACGAGUGUACAAAACGGGUUCGCACAAAUAGGUCAUGCGCCCUGCCUGGAUAUUUAUGAGACCUCUAAAUAACCUGCCUAAGUUCUCAUAGGAAGUGGUCUCACCUCCACUCUCAUAUAGGUGAAUCCAUCAAGUAUGUUCUGCAUUUAAACAUACCAUUUAUAAGGAAUAUGGUAUUCAUUAAGAGUAAACACUCAACCUUAAUCAAUGCAAAAUACGUUCUAUCUACACCAUAGGGAUGGACUCUCAUACAAUUAGAGUUGAUAGAGCACCUCAAGUCAACAAGUGAUUUGUUAUUACCUAUAUGAACCUACUUCAUGGAAUUUCCAUUCUAAUAGGUUGUGUUACCACCACUCUUAAAUUCUAUAACAGGCAUAAGCCUUAUUCCCCUCGAUGUUUCUUCCACUAGUUUUUUAUGUAGUGGUUUGGUCAAAGGAUCAGUCAAAUUCAACUCUGACCUCACAAAUUCUAGGGAUAUAACCCCUGUUUCAAGAAGUUGUCGCACAAUAUUGUGCCUUAGGCGUAUAUGUUUGUUCUUCCCAUUAAAUAUUUUACUCUUAGCCUUAGCAAUUGCAGCUUGGCUAUCACAAUGCAUAGACACGGACGGGGCUAGUCUCAUCCAUAAAGGGAUAUCUUCUAAGAGGUUUCUAAGUCAGUCAGCCUCAAAAUUUGUCUUUUCUAAGGCAAUAAACUUAGCCUCCAUAGUAGACCGAGUAAUGCAAGUUUUCUUGGCAGACUUCCAAGAAACUGCACUUCCACUAAGGAUGAAAAAAUAUCCACUAGUGGAUUUCAUCUCAUUUGAAUUCGAGAUCCAAUUUGCAUCACUAAAUCCUUUAAGGACACUUGGAAAUCCACUAAAGCACAAACCAUAGUUAAUGAUGCCUCUCAAAUACUUAAGGACUCUACGAAUAAUAGUUCAAUGGUCCUGAUUAGGACUUUGGGUGUACCAACUCAAUCUACCUACUGCAUAAGCAAUGUCAGGUCUGGUAUAGUUCAUUAAGUACAUUAGACUCCCUAUGAUCUGAGCAUACUCUAUUUGGGCAAUACUAUGUUCUCUAUUUUUCUUCAGUUGUGAGCUGGGAUCAUAAGGAGUUGACAUUGGUUUACAAUCAAAGUGUUCAAACUUCCUUAGGAUCUUUUCAACAUAGUGCUUUUGAGAAAGUUUAAGCCCAUUAGGUGUUCUAGUUAUUUUAAUUCCUAAAAUCACAUCUACCUCUCCUAGGUAUUUCAUACCAAACUUAGAACCUAGGAAUUUCUCGCUCUCAAACAUAGCCUCUAGGCUAGUUCCAAAGAUCAACAUGUCAUCAACAUAAAGACAAAUGACUACAUAUGUGUUAUCUUCAUACUUGUUGUAGAUACACUUAUCAGCAUCAUUAAUGGAAUAUCCAUUAGUUACUAACACAUGAUCAAACUUGUUGUGCCAUUGUUUGGGAGCUUAUUUUAACCCAUAUAGUGAUUUAACCAACUUACACACAUUUUUCUCCUUCCCUAGAACUACACAACCCUCAAGUUGAUCCAUAUAAAUUUCCUUUUCCAAAUCACCAUUCAAGAAUGCAGUCUUGACAUCCAUUUGGUGUAUCACCAAAUUAUGAAUGGAAGCUAAAGCGAUCAAUACUCUAAUUGAUGCUAUUCUAGUCAUAGGGGCAAAGGUGUCAAAGUAAUCUACAUCAUUCCUUUGUUUAAAGUCUUUGGCAACUAAAUGAGUUUCAUACUUUUCUAUGGACCUAUCUUGUUUUAACUUUCUUUUAAAGAUUCACUUACAACCAAUAGUCUUUGCACCAUAGGUAAAUUUACCAACUCCUAUGUAUGGUUAUACGUGAUUGAUUCGAUUUCACUGUUAAUGGCAUCCUUCCAGAAUGGUGCAUCAGGAGAAGGUAUAGCUUCUUUGUAGGAUCUAGGGUCCUCAUCUAUUAGGAAGGUGUAGAAACCAUCUCCAAGGUUUGUUUAUUUUCUAUCUCUUUUAUUCCUUCUAGGCUUAAAUUCAGAAGGUUCAAUAGACUUGUCUCUACUUGUUUUCUAAACUUGUUGUUCACCAUUUAGUUUCAUAGGAAAGAUGUUUUUCAAAGAAAUAUGUAUUCUUUGUUUCUAUUAUAGUAUUGACAUCUACAAGACUGUUUUCUAACUUAGUAACAAGAAACCUAUAUGUCGCACUAUUCUCAGCAUAUCCAAUGAACAUUGCAUCAAAGGUUUUAGGACCUAGUUUUUGUUUUUUAGGAUUAGGGAAACGAACUUUAGCUAAACACCCCCACACUUUUAGGUAUGCUAUAUUGGUGCAUAACCCUUCCACAACUCAUAAGGAGUUUUACCAGUUUUCUUGUAAGGUAUUCUAUUUUGAAUAUGACAUGUGGAUAGGAUAGCUUCCUUCCACAAGUUCAAGGGUGCUCCUGAACUUACCAACAUUGAAUUCAUCAUUUCUUUUAAGGUCAUAUUUUUCCUUUCUGCUACUCCAUUAGACUCAAGGGAAUAAGGAGGAGUAGUUUCAUGAAUGAUCUCAUGAUCUUCACAAAAAGAAUUAAAGGGGUUGGACUCAUACUCUCAUCCCCCAUCAGUUCUAAGUCUUUUAAUUUUCUUAUUUAGUUGCUUUUCCACUUCAUUUUUGUACUUGAUGAAAACAUCUCUUGCUUCAUCUUUGUUUCUCAAAAGAUAUACCCUUAUAUACCUUGAGUAGUCAUCUAUGAAAGUUAUAUAGAAUCGUUUACCACCUCUAAUCAUUGUAUUUUUUUAGGUCUCCUAAGUCACUAUGUAUUAAACUUAGUAGAUUUGAUUCUCUUUCAACUUAUUUGCAAGAUUUCUUUGUGGUUUUAGAUUAUACAAGAUUCAUAUUUUCCAUGGUUUUCUAAGGACAAUUUAGGGUUUGAACUCAAUUCAACCAUUUUCUUCAUAUAUGAAAAGUUCACAUGUCCUAGGUUACCAUGGCAAAUAUCAUAAGAAUAUACUAUGCAAGCAAAAGAAGAAGAUGCAUUAUUAUUGAUAAUAUCAUUAACAUUCAACAUAAAUAAACCUUUGUUACAAUAGCCCUUUCCCACAAAUGCAUCAUUCUUAGUUAAAACGAUUUUAUCAAAGUCAAAUAAGACCUUCACUCCUGCUUUCCCAAGCAGAGAUACUGACACCAAGUUCCAGUGGAUAUCUGGCACAUGAAGAACAUCACUGAGGGCAAGCACUUUUCCAAAGGUUAGCUUUGAGGAGAACUUUCCUUUUGCCAAUCAUUGGAGUAGAUCUAGAAUCACCCAUGAACACUUGUUUCUCUCUUUCCUUUACAAUGGUAUAAGAAGUAAAUGCACUUCUGUUUCCACAAUUGUUUUAAAAACCGGGCCGGACCGAAUGGUCUGACUGGUCGAAUCGUCAACCGGUGAACUUUCCAGUUUGGUUCAUCUCAAUGAAUCGUUUCAUGAUCAAACCGGUAUUGGACCAUUCAAACUAACGGUUGAACCGUUGAACUGGACAAACCCUCUGGUUUUUUACAAACCAGUUAGACCUUAAUCCUACAAAUAUUUGUUUACUAUUAAGAGACCCACUAUAUCCAUCAGGCCCAUUCCAUGCCCAAUACUUUUAAAACUGAAACUAAUUAUAAGCCCAUAUUUGGUCCAAGCCACUAGGCCCAAUCAAAUGACAAGAAAGCUUAUGAAACUUUUAUUUGGGUUAUGCCUCCAAGCCCAAUUCGCUGGCAUGUUUGGCUUACAAGGCAUGUUGCAAGGUAUUUAUAGAGCACUUAGAGCACAUAGAAUUCAUGUGCUUCUGAUGUGGGAUUGGGAAUGGAAAUGAUUAGAGGUAAAACAUUGCCUCUUGGAGGGCUGGACGCACGAAUAUCUUAAAAAUUAAAGUUCGAACUUUGAGGUCUUUAAACUUUGAACCAUUGAGCAUUGAACCAUAUUUAUUAAAUGAUGUUGUUAAAAUAUAUAUAUAUAUAUAAUAAGAAUCUAACAUUAAUGUUUUUAUUUCAAAUUUUUAUCAUAUAAAAUCUUUAAAGAAAUGUAAAUAUUUAAAUUCCUGUUUAUUUUUAGAAUAAUAAUAAUAUAAUAAUAAUUAUAAAAAAUAAUAUAAAUUAAUUAAUUAAAUAAUUUUAAAACAAUAAAAUGCAAAGACAAAAAGAUAAAAUUAAAUAUUAUAAUUUUUUUCAUCUGAAAUAUAUCUUCAUUUUUAAAUAUUACAUAUUUCUAUUUAAUAAAAUUUAAAAUAUUAAACUUUAUCAUUUAAUUUAAUAUACCAAAUAUAAAAAUCAAACAUUAUUAAAAUUUGUAAUUUUAUAUAUAUUUAAUUUUUAUGAUUAUUUUUAAUUUUAUAUAAUAUAUAAAUUAUAUAUUUAAUUAUUUAUUACAUCACUGGUUCAACCACCAUUUGACCGCCAAUUAGAGGUGUCCAUUGGGCUAGGCCGAAACAGCACAACACUAUAGCAGGUUGGGUCGGCACGACCCAAAAGGAGCGGGCCAUGCUGGGCCUAAAAAAAUAGCCCGCACAGCCCACCGUGCUAGCUGUCACACCCUCGAAAAUCACCCUAAAAUUUUCACCUGGUGCUCGGUGCUAAGGACCCCUCCUUAGCCAACCUUCCUUCCCAGUCUUCACAACACUCACACACACAAGCAACAGUAAACCAAAGAGGAACAAGGACACACGAGAUUACAGGAAUUUCUUCCCAACUUGUAUUAGUUCUCAACCUACAAGAUACAAAAUUGUUCUUUGAACCAGAGGAUAAUGCUUACAACCCAAGCAUUCAGAGAUCCUCUUUCUCUCCUUCCUCUCUCUCCCUCUCAAGGCUGCAGAAGUCCUAUUUAAAAGACUAGCCCUGCAGUUCCUCCUCAGGUGGUGGUACAACUGCUCAGAACCGCUCUGAACUGCUGGUAUAACUGCCCACCACCCAGAUGGUGGCCUGCUGAGAAACCACCCACUUGCAUCAGCAUCAGUUUUGCCUCAGCCCACUGUCAGUCUAUGCAGCUCCUUGACUUGCUCACUAGCUGUCCAAGCUGUAUCAGUGUGCCUCCCCCACACUGAUGAGUGAGCCCAAGCCAUGUCGAGGUGCCCAUGGUCUGGGUCUGUUGCUUUCCCUUCCUGUGUCAGGUUUCGCUUCAACGAGCCAUGGCAUUGCGCCCAUGGCAGUUCCCUCUUGGUGCACAGGGCAUUGCGCCCCUGUGCUGUGCAUAGGCAUUCGGGUGCUAGUCGGCUGUUUGUCUGAUUCCCCAUCUGGCCAUGGCAUUGCGCCCAUGGUCUUCUUGUCUGGUUUGCUUGCACGAGGUUUAGGCGUCCUCGUGCUGGCGCGGGGAGGGGCUAGGCCGCAUCAUGCCCCGUGCUGAUGCAGCCACGGGUUGCAUGCCACACAUGUCGUGGAGCCCAUGUGUGCAUGCUCAAUUGCCAUGCCAGGAUGCCUUCUUGGUGCGGUCAAGGCUCACCCUUGGUGCUCAUCUCCCUUGAGACACCCACCCCCCCNNNNNNNNNNNNNNNNNNNNNNNNNNNNNNNNNNNNNNNNNNNNNNNNNNNNNNNNNNNNNNNNNNNNNNNNNNNNNNNNNNNNNNNNNNNNNNNNNNNNCCCCCCCCCCCCCCCCCCCCUCUCCCCCUCCCCCUUAAAGAGCAAUAUGGGCCGUUUUCAAAGUUUCUGGAGGAGACAUCAAUAUGUCUGAGGAGACAUAAUGAAAUAUUUAAAUAAAUACAAAUUAAUUUAAAUUCCCAAAAUAUCCCUCUACACCAUUCCUUAGCCCAAGUGCCUGUCUGGCUUGCCCUUGGUGCGCGCCUAGCUCGUCCGUGGUGCGCGCCUGGCUCGUCCGCGGUGUGCGUCUGACUCCUUUGUGAUUCUCACACUAAGCUUCAAGGAUUCGAACCACCAACCCUCUAGGCUUCCCUUGCUUUCAACCCAGGCUCUCAUGGGUGCAAGGCCUACCCAUGAGGCCUGUUUUUCCCGGUCUAGAUCAAGUGGCUAAGGGGCUGACAAACCCACCCCCACCUGCUGAAGUCGACGCCCUCGUCGACUUAGACCGCCAAUAAGCCUGGACCUCCUUCUCAAAUUGCCACAAUGUAACAUCUCUUUCCCAUGAAGCUUCAGCUUCUAAAAUACCCUUCCACUGAACCAAGAAAUCAGUUCGCCGGUUCUUUUUGCUAUGUCCCAUGGUCCUAUGAUUAAAUAUCUUUUCUACCUCUUGAUCAAAUUGUUUCAUGACCAAGGGAGGUGCUCGCUUUGUCUGCACCCUUUCUGCAUCCAGAUCCUCAUGGUAAGGCUUCAGAAAGCUCACAUGGAAGGUUGGGUGAAGCUUGAGCCUCUCAGGCGGCUUCAACAUAUAGGCCACCUGGCCAAUCCGCUUUAUCACCUCAAAGGGUCCAUCAUAUUUGGGAAUAAGGCCCCUCUGCCUUGUCUUGCUGCUGAUCUUCUUCCAUAUUUGGGGAGUCAAUUUCAGGAGGACCCUGUCCCCAACCUGAAAUUCCAAGGAUCUUCUAUCCCGGUCUGCAUACUUCUUCAUACGUCUGGCUGCCUUCUCAAGACUGUCCCGAGCUUCAUCAAGCAUCUCUUGCCGGGACUGCGCCAUCUUAUAAGCUGCAGGGCUGUUACCUCCUACCUUCUGCUUUGUCACCUCUAGAGGCAUCCGAGGUUGUACCCCAAUGGCUAACUCAAAGGGACUCAUCCCUGUUGCUGAGCUUCUCUGCAAGUUGUAACACAACUGUGCAGUGUCCAUCAAGUCCACCCAAUUCUUCUGAGUUGCCGUGACAUAGUGCCUGAGGUAUUCCUCUAGUAAUGCAUUAAUCCUUUCUGUCUGCCCAUCUGUCUGAGGGUGGUUGGCUGUGGAGAACUUUAACUCUGAGCCUAAGAGUUUGAACAGCUCAACCCAGAACUUUCCGGUGAAUCUUGCAUCACGAUCACUUAUUAUAUCCCGCGGUAACCCAAAGUGUUUAACAACAUUGCUGAAAAACAACUUAGCCGCUUCCUCCGCCGGGCAAGUAUCAGGAGCAGGGAUAAAAACAGCAUAUUUUGAAAAUCUAUCCACAACAACAAAGACAGAUUUAAAGUCACGAACCUUUGGAAAUCCAGAAAUAAAGUCCAUAGAGAUACUCUCCCAAGGUUUCUCUAGAAUGGGGAGGGGCUGCAGCAACCCAGUAGCCUUCUUCCUUUCAGUCUUGUCCAUCUGACAAACUAGGCAAGUCUUUACAUAGGCUUGCACUUCCUCACCCAUCUUAGGCCAGUAAUAGGAUCUGGCUAGUAGUGCCAGUGUUCUUUCUUCUCCGGGAUGGCCUGCCCACUUCGCAUCAUGAGUCUCCCGUAGUAGUUCCUUUCUCAAGCCGCCUGCAGGUACAUACCACCUUCCUCCUUUAGCCACAAGAAGGUCACCCUCUAGCCAAUAUCUCCUGAUCACACCCUCCUUUACUUGCUGCCUUAGCCUGCCAUAUGCAGCGUCCUGCUCUGCAGCAUGUUUGAUCAUCUCAUUGAAGUCAGAGAUGACUUCUGAGAGGGCUGUGAUGUAAGUGAUCAAUUCCUUCCUACUCAGGACAUCCGCCACAGUGUUAUGUCUCCCUGGUCGAUACAGCCAUUCAAAAUUGAAGUCAGCCAGGAACUCCUGCCACCGUGCUUGUCUAGGGCUCAGCUUCUUCUGGGUUUUGAAGAAAGUGUUGGCCACAUUGUCAGUGACCACUGUGAAGAUACUCCCCAGCAAGUAGUGCCUCCACUGCCGCAGGCAAUGCACCACAGCAGUCAUCUCCUUCUCGUGAGUGGAGUAUCUUUGCUCAGCAUUGUUCAGCUUCCUGCUCUCAAAUGCCACCGGGUGCCCUUCCUGCACCAAGACUCCACCCAAGGCUCUAUCAGAGGCAUCCGUUUGGACUUCAAAGGGUAAGUCCAAAUCUGGCAACCGCAGCACAGGCUCAGUGGACAUGGCUUCUUUCAGGCUUUCAAAAGCCAUCUGACACUGCCUGCUCCAAUCCCACUGGUUGUCCUUCUUCAAUAGGUCAGUAAGGGGAGACACCGUCUUUGAAUAUCCCUUAAUGAACCUUCUGUAAUAGUUGGCCAGGCCAAGGAAGGACCGCAGCUCUGUCACUUUGGAAGGCACUGUCCACUCCAUAAUGGCCUGCACCUUACCCUUAUCCAUUCUGAUCAGACCUGCACUGAUCUUGUGUCCUAGAAACGUGAUCUCCUCCUGAGCAAACUCACAUUUCUCUGGCUUUACAUAAAGCCUAUUCUCCCUCAAUCUCUGGAACACCAAUCUCAGGUGUUUCUCAUGUUCUGUUAGUGUCUUGCUAUAAACAACAAUAUCAUCUAGAUACACUACUACAAAUGCAUCCAAAUAAUCAAACAGAACAUCAUUCAUUAAAUUGCAGAAUGUAGCAGGGGCAUUGGUUAAUCUGAAAGGCAUUACCAGAAACUCGUAUGAGCCAUACCGAGUUACACAAGUUGUUUUCCCCUCAUCUCCUGCUGCAACCCGUACUUGCCAAUAGCCCGAUCUCAGGUCCAACUUGGUGAAGUAAGAAGCCUUUGAUAGUCGGUCAAAGAGUUCUGCAGCCAAGGGGAUCGGAUACUUGUUUUUGAUGGUCACCUUGUUGAGUGCUCUAUAGUCCACGCACAUGCGGAGAGAGCCAUCAUGCUUCUUUUGGAAGAUCACUGGUGCACCAUAUGGAGCCCUUGAGGGCUGGAUCAGGCCUGCAUCCAACAACUCCUUCAGUUGCUUACGUAAUUCCAGCAACUCUGCAGGGGACAUUCUGUAAGGAGCUUGUGCAGGAGCCUUUGUUCCAGGUAGCAAUUCUAUCUUGUGGCCAAUAGGUCGCCGGGGUGGCAAUUCCUUGGGGAGUUCUGCAGGCAUAACAUCACUGAACUCCUUAAGGAUUUUGACCACAGAAUCAGGGACCUCCAUAGUCUGUCCCUCCUUGAUCUCGAUCAAGGCUGCAACGUAAGUCUCCUGGCCUCUCUUCAAUCCCUUCUUCAAUUGGAUGGCAGACAACAUCUCCGGUUGGCCCUUGCCACCAUCCUUUGCCCUCAAAGCUUGCACAAAGCAGGGCUGCUUUUCUUCCAACACCAUCAACCCACCAAGGUGGGGAAUCAGGGCCACCUUAGCCCUCAGGAGGAAAUCCACACCCAAGAUCAAAUCAAAAUCAUCCAAAGGUACGCAAAGUAGGCUACACAUACCUUCCCAGUUACCAAUUUUCAUGGGGACAUUCUUGGCUACCCCUUGGAUUUUCUGAGUUUUACUGUUCACAGCUUUGAUCCUGCUGGUGUCCUCUUCCAACCUUAGUCCCAACCUAGCUGCUUCCUUGGUGGCCACAAAAUUAUGAGUGGCACCACUGUCCACCAAGGCCUUCACUUGCACACCGUUCACCAUUGCAUUUAUAUGCAUUAAGGACUUCUGGACAGGGGUCUCACCAUGAAUCACGUUCAGAAGUUGCAGGGGGUUGACUCUGGGUCAGAAUCUCCCUUGUCCUCUGCAGUCACCAAGGCUGAGAGCUUCUCUCUUUUGGGGCAGUCCUUGGCUCGAUGAGGGCCAUUGCAGAUGAAGCAUCCCAUCAUCCGGGUGGUCUGUUGCACAACCUUUGUGGUUUUCUCCACUGGUUUUCCACCUACAGCAGGCUUUUUGCCCUGUUUCUUCCACCCAGACUUCUGAGAAGUCUUGCCCUCAAACUUAGCCUUCUUGCCUCCAUCCGACCUGGGUCUCUGUGCGGUGGAGAUGGCGCCACCCAUCUUGUAGUCCACCAAGCAAUCUACUGCAGCCAUGGCAGCAGGGAGAUCACGAACUCCUUGUCUCCUGAGUUCUGUCUAAGCCCACCCUUGCAAACUCGACAUGAAGUUGAACAGCUUGUCCUCCUCUGACAUGUUCUUAAUAUCCAGCAUCAAGGAACUGAACUCCUUGACAUAUUCCCUCACAGAUCCAGUGUGCUUGAGUCUUUUUAGUGCCUCCCUGGCCACCCAUGCCGUGUUGGUGGGGAGGAACUGAUCCUUCAAUUCCUUCUUCAGAGUCUCCCAAGUGGUGAUUUGGGGCCUUCCCGACUCUGCAUCAUCUUCCAUCGUAGUCCGCCACCACAAUUUGGCAUCACCAGUCAAAUACAUACUGGUGAUGGAAACCUUCUCGCCAUCAGGAACAUGAGCAGCCUUAAAGAACUGCUCGAUGUCCCACAAGAAGUUUUCCAAUUCCUUCGCAUUUCUGUUGCCGUUGAAGCCUUUGGGCUCAGGGACUCGAACUUUGGAAGGGGCUUCAGGGCCUGAGGCAGAUCCCUGCAACACCGCCUUCUUCAGAACAGCGAUGUCUUCUCCAUAGGUCUGCAGGGUCUCCUUGAAUUCAUCAAUCCGGGACUGCAUCUCGGUUUUGAACUCAGCCAUUUUCUCCUCGAAGAAAUUGUCAUGGGACUCCAACAGAUUCCUCUGUAAUUGGAUUUCUCCCGUGGUGUUUUCUGCCCACGAAGCCACAGUGCCAUCAUCACGUGGCCAUUCUCCCAACGCCUCCUCUAAUUGAGUCAUCCUCUCCCGCAAGGCCUCCAUUGCACUGCCACCAUCCAUCUCUGGUGCUUGCUCUGAUACCAACUGUCACACCCUCGAAAAUCACCCUAAAUUUUUCACCUGGUGCGCGGUGCUAAGGACCCUUCCUUAGCCAACCUUCCUUCCCAGUCUUCACAACACUCACACACACAAGCAACAGUAAACCAAAGAGGAACAAGGACACACGAGAUUACAGGAAUUUCUUCCCAACUUGUAUUAGUUCUCAACCUACAAGAUACAAAAUUGUUCCUUGAACCAGAGGAUAAUGCUUACAACCCAAGCAUUCAGAGAUCCUCUUUCUCUCCUUCCUCUCUCUCCCUCUCAAGGCUGCAGGAGUCCUAUUUAAAAGACUAGCCCUGCAGUUUCUCCUCAGGUGGUGGUGCAACUGCUCAGAACCGCUCUGAACUGGUGGUAUAACUGCCCACCACCCAGAUGGUGGCCUGCUGAGAAACCACCCACUUGCAUCAGCAUCAGUUUUGCCUCAGCCCACUGUCAGUCUAUGCAGCUCCUUGACUUGCUCACUAGCUGUCCAAGCUGUAUCAGUGUGCCUCCCCCACACUGAUGAGUGAGCCCAAGCCAUGUCGAGGUGCCCAUGGUCUGGGUCUGUUGCUUUCCCUUCCUGUGUCAGGUUUCGCUUCAACAAGCCAUGGCAUUGCGCCCAUGGCAGUUCCCUCUUGGUGCACAGGGCAUUGCGCCCCUGUGCUGUGCAUAGGCAUUCGGGUGCUAGUCGGUUGUUUGUCUAAUGCCCCAUCUGGCCAUGGCAUUGCGCCCAUGGUCUUCUUGUCUGGUUUGCUUGCACGAGGUUUAGGCGCCCUCGUGCUGGCGCGGGGAGGGGCUAGGCCGCAUCAUGCCCCGUGCUGAUGCAGCCACGGGUUGCAUGCCACACAUGUCGUGGAGCCCAUGUGUGCAUGCUCAAUUGCCAUUCCAGGAUGCCUUCUUGGUGCGGUCAAGGCUCACCCUUGGUGCUCAUCUCCCUUGAGACACCCACCCCCCCAUUAAAGAGCAAUACGGGCCGUUUUCAAAGUUUCUGGAGGAGACAUCAAUAUGUCUGAGGAGACAUAAUGAAAUAUUUAAAUAAAUACAAAUUAAUUUAAAUUCCCAAAAUAUCCCUCUGCACCACUCCUUAGCCCAAGUGCCUGUCUGGCUUGACCUUGGUGCGCGCCUGGCUCGUCCGCGGUGCUCGUCUAGCUCGCCCGCGGUGCGCGCCUGGCUCGUCCACGGUGCGCGUCUGACUCCUUUGUGAUUCUCACACUAAGCUUCAAGGAUUCGAACCACCAACCCUCUAGGCUUCCCUUGCUUUCAACCCAGGCUCUCAUGGGUGCAAGGCCUACCCAUGAGGCCUGUUUUUCCCGGUCUAGAUCAAGUGGCUAAGGGGCUGACACUAGCCCACUUGGCCCUUUUAAAUUUCACUUUUUACUUUUUACUUUUUAUUUUUUAUUACAUGUCAAAUGUCUAUACUACUCUUCUCAAUAACUAUAUAACUGCUAAUUUGAGGGGUAAAAAGGUAAAUUAAUAACUAUCUUUACUUUUUUUUAUGUCAAAAGUCAAUAUUAUCCAUCCCAACAACUAUAUAACGGCUAGUUUAAAGGAUAAAUAAGUAAAUCACUCACUAUUAAUAUUUUUAUAUCUAAUAUCUAUAAUACUCCUCUCAACAACUAUAUAAUGAUUAGUUUUAGUGGUAAAUAAGUAAAUGACUCACCAAUACUUCUCUAUAAAUACCCUUCAUUUUAUUUUUUUCUCACACAAUUCUCUAUUCUCUCUCUUUAUAUUGUUUACAAUUCUCUCUACUUUCUCUUUUCACAAUUCUCUACAUUGAAAUUCUCUCAAGUGGUAAAGAUAUCUAUUAACUCUACAAGUGCUAAAGAUAUCUACCAACUCUACAAGUGGUCAUUAUUCAUAAAGUUGAGGUAUUUAUAUUUAGUUAUUUCAUUUAUUUAUUUUAAUUCUAUAUAUUAAAAAUGGAUCAUCAUCACCUAGAUGUAGAAAACCUUGAUUUUGGUAUUGAUGCAUGUAAUGAAUUUAAUCCAUUUGAAGAUGACGAGAUUCCCACCUCCUCUAGUGUCCCUUCCUCUGACCUUUCUCAACCUAAUCCCAUAGGCAAAAAACCUAGAGCUAGUAGACGCACAUCUGUAGUAUGGAAUCACUUCACUAUAAUAAAUAGACAAAAUACAAGAGGAGAGGUAGAAAAUGUAGCAGAAUGUAACUAUUGUAAAAAAAAAACAUAUAGUUGCAAAGCUAGUGGUGGCACAGGUCACCUUAAAAGACAUGUCGAACAAUGUACAAAAAAACAUGGUGCAUUAGAUCCUAGACAAUCUCAAAUAAGUGAAAACAAAAUAGGAUCCAGUACAUCUUCAAUGACCAUCUUUAUAUACAAUCAACAAUUCCUAAUAGAAGGGUUAGCUAGAUUGAUAGCCAAUAUGAGGCUUCCACUUACUUUUGGAGAAGAUCCUAGAUUUGUACAUUUCAUGCAAAAGUAUGUCCAGCCAGCUUAUCAUAGAAUUCCUAAGACUACUUCUCAUAAUGAUGUAAUUAAAUGUUACCUACAAGAAAAACAAUUACUAAUUGAAGAAUUUAAAAAUCAUAGUGGUAUUGUAUAUGUGACCUCAGAUUUACGGACUAAUCAAAGUAAGGAACCUUUUACAUGUGUGACAUCACAUUAUACAAAUUCAAAUAUGAAAUUACAAAAAAAAAAAAAAAAUAUUAGGUUUUCGUAAAAUAUUACAUCCUCAUUAUGGUCCUUCCAUAUGUGAUUCUUUGAUAAGUGUUUUUAGAGAAUAUGGUAUACAAAGCAAAAAUUUUAGUAUUAUCUUUGAUAAUGCUUCAAAUAAUAAAAGUGCCAUAAAUUUAUUUAUAAGAACAAUUAGAGAAGGUCCACUCAGUGAAAUAUUUCAUGUGAGAUAUAUGUGUCAUAUAAUUAAUUUAAUAGUACAAGAUGGUUUAAAAUUAAUAUCACCCUCAUUACAAGCUAUCCGAUCUACUAUACUAUUUCUUGAUUCAUCUAACAAAUUACAAGAAUUUUAUAUUUUAUGUUUUAUGUCAAUCAAUAGGUUUGAAAAAGAGAAAAUUUUGCCGUAAUAUUAGUCAUCGUUGGAAUUCUACCUACUUAAUGUUAGAAUCUUGUGUAUGGUAUCAUAACAUACUAUCAGAUUAUGUCAAUAGUAAAACAGGUGAAAUUAUAGUAACUUCUUAUGAUUGGGAGAAAUGUUAUGCUUUUUUAAAAUUCUUGAAGGUUUUCUAUGAUACUACUAACAUGUGUUCUGUUGUAUAUACUCAUACAUCUUGUAUAACACUUAGAUGUAUUUGCAAUAUAAGUGAUGUGUUUCGACAAUAUAGGGAACAUCCUCUUUUUAGUGAAAUAUGUGUACAAAUGGAAAUUUUUUUUUUUGAAAUAUUGAAAAACUAUUUCAUCACUUUAUUGUUUAGCUACUUGUAUGAAUCCAAGGGUUAAGGUUGAAGGUGUAGAAAAUAUUUUAAAUUACGUAGCUAUUUGUAUGAACCAACCAUCCGAACCAGAAGGUAAGAUAUAUGAACAAUUAAACAACUUAUAUAAAUAUUAUGAGAAUAAAUAUGGUAAUGUCUCUUCAAGUACUAUAACUUCAUCUACAUUUGGAAAUGAUCCAUUUUUUAUAUAAUUAGCUAAGGAAAAACGAUAAGUUGGUCCUUCAAGUAGGUGUGAUCUUUUAAAAUAUUUAGAUAUUGAUUAUUGUUCAUACCUAUUCCCUAAUGAAGUGCAAAAUUUUGAUAUUAUGAAGUGGUGGAAAUCUUAUGAAUCCAAUUUUCAUGUACUAUCUAAAAUGGCACGUGAUCUACUAACCCCACUGGUGUCUACUGGAGCAUCGAAAUCUUCUUUUUCUAUAACUGCAAAUAUAAUAGGAGAUAGGAUGACAAAUCUUACAGCAAAGAUGCUAUAAGCUUUGACAUGUUUGAAGGAUUGGGAAGAUGGACGCAUGAGACUUCAAACUUUAGAUGAUGAACUAAAAGAAGCCUUUAAGAAAUUGUUUCUCGAUGCAAACAAUGUUGUUCAAGAGAUUGAUGAUGAUUGAAGAUGAAAAAAAAAAUGAAGAUUGAAGAAUUAUAUGUUGUUCAUUUCUUUUAAAUCUAUUAAAUGUAGCUAAUUUUUAAAGGUUGAGUAAUGCAUAUGAUUGAUAGUUGGGUAGGUGCCAACCUAGUUGGGAUGUACUCAAACUAUAGUGAUUCAAUUCUCACCUUUUUUUUCUCCUUAUUUUUUCAUGUAAUUUGUUGAAAUAUUGAAUAAAAGAUUUUUUUUUUAUAUUUCAUUUCCUUUUUUAUUCCAUUAUUUUAAAUUUAUUUUUAUUUUGAUAAAAAAUAAACAAAUUCAAAUAUAGUUUGUUUUUUACUAUUUUUUUUUUUAAAAAAACUAACAUUUCUAUAAAUUUUACAAUUACAAACUCAAUAAAUAUAAAUGUAAAAAAUAAAAAGUGUAAUUAUUAGAGGUGUACAAAAAAUAAAAAUAAAAAUAUAAUUAUUAAAGGUGUUUAAAGUAACAAAAAGAAAUUUUAUUUAAUAAUGAAAAAAAAACUUUUAAAAAAUGACUUAAAAAAUUAAAUUAAAAUUUUUAACAAAGUGGGUGGCCCAUGGGCCACGGCCCGCCGGCACGACCCGCCCGACACGAUUAGCCCACAGACCUAUGGGUCAUGUCAGGCCACCUCUUUCCUUGCAUGGGUCAGCCUAGCCCUACACGAUUUUUAAGUGGGUCGUGCUAGCCCGGUACAUUGGCUCAUAAUGGCUCGGUCAACAUUGGGUCGUGCCUUGGACACCUCUACCGUCGGUCCGACCAGUGAACCGGUAAUUUUUUCGGUUCAAUGACCGGUCCGGUUCUGAAAACAUUGAUUUCCACAGAUGUGCUUGGUAGCCACAGAGUCUACCACCCAGUCUUUCAUAUUGGUGACCAUGCACACCUCAGAGAAGACUACUGAUGAGAUCACCUCUAUCUCUACCACAUUUUCCUUUGAAUUGGACUUCUCAAUUCUCUUCCUGUGGCGACAUUGAGUUGCAUGGUGUCCAGACUUGCCACAGACAAAGCAAUUACCCCGUUUUUUAAUAGUUAAGUUUUGGACCUUGUUUGAUGCAUUGGGCUUGGUCCUAGAGUUUUAUUUCCUAAACUUAUUGUUUUUAGGUUUAGGUUUUUCUUCUACUACAUUAGCCUCAAAAGACAAUUCUUUAGCUUUCUCAACAUUGUUCCUAUUUCGGUUUUGUUCCUCAAUCCUAACAUGGUUUAUGACAUCCUUUAGGGACAUUUGUUUCCUUUUAUGUUUCAUAUUAUUUUUAUAGUCUUUCCAAGACUCUGGAAAAGUCUCUACUAAAUAACCAACCACAAAAGGUUCGAGUAAUUUAAUGUCUUCAAUAGCUAAGUCAUUAAUCAACAAGUGGUAGUCAUGGAUUUGAAAUGAUAUAUCUCUAUCCUCGGUCAUUUGGAAAUUUCUAAAAUUCCCUAUGGCAUAUUUUUUAGUUUAUGCAUCUUCCAAAAUAUUUUCUUUUUAUUCAUUGCAUCCCAAAUUUCUUUUGCAACUUUAAAUUGACAAUAAAUAUCAAAAAAUUUAUUAGAAAUGGUACUCGAAAUAGCAUGUCUAACUUGUUUAUCUAACUUGUUUAUUUCCAGUUUCCCAGGUUGGUAACAAAUGAGAACCAUCUUCUGGUUUAUGUGUCUCAAGUUCACUACAUCACUUGUAGAGAAAACCAUUUCCUGUCAUCUCUUAAAGAAUGUCCCAUUGAAUAGAUCAAUUUUAGAGGUGUUAGGACGAGUGUGAACUAGGGAAGCUUCCAUUUGGACAUGUUUCAAGAUUGUUGGAUUUAAGGGUAUGGAAACAAAUUACUAGCCCAAAAGACACAAACAAAUAACAUAAUUAAUAAGAAGAAAAACUUAUUGGCUGAGGCGUGACAAACACUGUCCUUGAAAUAGAUCCACCCUCCUCAAAGAUGAACUCGAUGCACUAGGGUACCAGUGGUCUACCUCUAGGAUUCAACAACCAGAUCUCGCCUUGAGUGCACUCUGUAAGCGAAAUGUGUACAACUCGGGUUUUGAAAAAAUUCCUCCAAAUAGAUGUAUGAAAAUACUCUCUGAAUAACACUCUGAAAAAUUAUCUGAAAAAUUGGUAUUCAUAUAUAGAGGGUGAGGGGUGACCUGCUUUUAUAGGUCACUAACACAGUCUUGGGGCUCUACUUGUAAUCAGAACAUUACUCAAAGUGGAAGGAGAAUCUACUUAUAAGUGGAAUGGUACUCUACUAACGCAAUCCCAAUAGGACUCUUCUAAAAAAUAUAAGACUAAUAGAAUAUAAUAAAAUAAAAUAAAAUAAAAUAAUUAUUUACAUUCUUCCUACAUUGCACAUGGGCGCAAUGCCCUAUGCAUGGGACAGAUGAGCCAUGGGUGCAAUGCCAUGGCAUGAUGCUACACCAAGAAGGCUCUUAAACAUGAGCAUGAGUUAUUGCAACAACACGGAAGGUCUCAUACACAUGCUUAGCAUAGGGGCAUAAUGCCUUGUGCACAUGAAUGCAAGCUAUGGGUGUAAUGCCAUAGCUUAUCACUACAAACAAGAGAAACAUGGGGAUGGCAUGGGAAGCCACAACAAUGAUCAAACUGAUAUAGACAUGGUGGUGCAUGGCUUAAUCAAGUAAGGCAUGGGAGGGCCUUGCAAACGUCUGGUUCAUUAGGUGUGGACAACAACACCUUGGUGUCAUGAGUGCCUAGACAUGACACAAAGUUGGGAUGGGCAUCAGUGCGUCGGUGCACACUGAGACAUCAUAUAGAGAUAACUAAACACACAAAGCAUGACAAAAGAUAAUAUGAUUGACAUAGGCUAAUAGGCAUGCACACAUGGUGAUUAAUGAGAGUUGGACUCACAUACAAAGGCCAAAGACCAAAAUGACAUGGGCUUGGCUUGCAACAUUGGAUUGGACAUGACCUUGGGUCGAUUGAUCAGAGAAGGGUAUGGAUGACUAAGUUGCAUGAGGCGGUUGCAAAGGCACCUGUUCGCACAAGGUACCUAUUGGCAAGAGACCCCAAGAGGAGGCAUGAUUUGGCUUGGCAUCAAAUAUCUCUGGUUGCAUGCAAGUGUGAAGUAACACCACGGUUGGGAAUGGGUGUCUUUAGUUGGGUGGUUAUAGCAGGUUGCAUAACCACCACUCAGGUUCCUACUUUAAAUUCAAAGGUUUGAAUUCAAAAUUCAAAUGAGGAAGACUCAUCUAUAAAAGCUUAUGCAAGACAAAGAAACCAAGGGUGAGUAAUCUGGAGAGAAAGAAAACAGUAUCAUUCUCUUAUAGGAGUUUUUGGGUUCUCUGACAGAAAAUUUGUAUUAGUGUUGGUAGACUUGUAAAAGCAGUUUUGUAAUCUUUUGUAGUAAGAAAAUAUAAGUUGGGGAGGAUUUCCAUAUAUGCUUGAUUGCCUUUUUUACAUUUGCUUUUGGCUAUCCAUUGAGAAGGCUAAGAUCAGGGUCUUAGCAUUGCACACUUCAAAAAAAAAAAUUUAAAUAGAAUUUGAUGGAUUUUUUGGAUGAUGUGACAACUAGCAUUAAGGCCUCAGAUUUUUAAAAAAUCCUUUUAAGGAUAUUUUGGACAUUUUUUAUUGACAAAAUAGGUUUAAAUCUUUAAGGCAAUUUACAAACUUAGUCACCUCCUUGAAAGCAAUUAUGCAAAUUUUGCACCCUUCAGGGUCAUUAUUAGCCCUAUCUACACCUUAACAUAAUGGUUCGUAUAAUUUUUUCCUUUUUUUCCCACAAAGAAAGAGAUUUUUUUGGCAAGUACUAUGAUGGAGUGUACUGAGGAGACACUAGGAUAAGAUGGGACUUGAGAAGCAAAAACCCAACAACCUAAGAUCACACAGCCUUGGGUGUUGGAGCUGAAACCAAUCAAAGUUUCAGAAUUUUAAAUAUUUUUUAGGGGAUAAAAAAGGAGUAAGAUAAAGAAAAAUAAAAUAAACCCAUUUCAUAGUAAAAUAAAAGAAAUUUAAAUAUUUGAUCACCAAUAUUGACAUUCAAUAAUUAAAUAAAGUAUUAUGAUCUCCUCCAUUUGGACCAAAGGAAGCCCUCCUUUACCUCCCAUAGCCAUGUCCUGGGCCAACUUGUCGCAUGUGACAUGUCCAAUCCGAACCUGUCUUUUGAGAAGUCGGCACUCCUCCAUUUGGACCAAAGGAAGCCCCCCUUUACCUCCCAUAGCCAUGUCCUGGGCCAACUUGUCGCAUGUGACAUGUCCAAUCCGAACCUAUCUUUUGAGAAGUCGGCACUUACAAAUUCGGAAAUUCCACUUCAUUAUCCUUUGUCAAUGACUUGGGUUUCACCUAAGAAAUAAGAACAAAAGGGAAAUCAUUCCCACAAAUAAGCAUAUGCAAUUAGGACAAGGACAUCUUAACUACUCUUAGCUCAAGCCCGACAUGCUAAUAUCUAUUUAAUUUGCAUUAUUCAAUUCCAAGUCUAUAAACUAUCAUACAUUUCACCAGACCUAAGUCUUCAAAUUUCAUCCUCAUCUCCAAUUACGAUGACAGAUAAAGACAAAAAAUAAAAACAUCUGUACAAUUGUAUCCGAUGGGACAGGGUAUGACACGUUACAAUCCAUGGUGCCGCCAUGCAUAACCUUUAUCUCUUUUUCCUUAUCUUCCUCUAUUCUCAUUCUAUUUCUUUGGGUCUCUUUAACCUAACCAUCUCAGUGUCGGCUGCUUUGAUUCUUCCCGGAACUUCUUGUAAAUGUUCCCUUGUUGAACUUUCUAGUCCGAAUCACUAGUAUGAGCGACACAAGUGAACCUAAAAAUGUGGUCCCUGUGAUUAUAAUGAAGGCCAAUUUGAAGCACUCUACCCCUGAGCAGUUCAAGUCUUCACCAGGACUCCUUUUGAUCCCCCGAGCUGCCAUUUUCUUUUCUGCCUCUUUAUCUUAUAGACUUCCGGCCACCAGCACAUUGUGUAAAUAGGAACCCACUGGGCUAACCACUGCGCCAAACUUGUACAAUGUGGAGUAGUAUUUAAGGCCAAAAAUUUCAGAAAUGAUUGCCGUAAAGUAUUGGCCAUUGAGCACCGAAGCAAAAGCCGAUAAUUAUUGAUGCUAAGUAGAGACCAUCCUUGAUGUUGAAGGCGAUGAGGAGAUGACCAACACAUGAGAGGAGGAGGAUGAGUGUGAGUAUCAAAGGGCGGGGAAACUUGUACUUGUCUAAGACGAUCUCCGAUCCAAAGCCUGCAGUUACACUUCCAAGAUAGUUCCAUGUGCUAACCAGCGAUAUGAAAGUACUCAUGCUUUUCUGGGGGUACCCCAGUGAAGUUCCAAUCUGUCCCAAGUUGUCUACGACCCUUAAAGUCGCUCCAAUACCUCAAAUUGUAGCAAAGAAUAGAACAAACAUGUCUAUGCUGAAAAGGGCUUGAAGUAUGAUGUAGUCCUCUCCUCUGUCUGGUGGCCUGAACACGUUGGAGAAGCAAGAAACUUCCUUCUGUGAACUUGGUUGUUCCGUGAGCGAACUUGUUGAGCCUGCUGAUUCAGGCGGUAGUGAAGAUGAAGAAAUCUCGGUGUUCAACUUAUCAGUGAUGGUUGUCAACUCUGAAGUCUCACUCAGGGACUGUUGUUUGAUCUUCCAAAGCUUGAAUUCCUCUUGUAUAACAAUCGCAAAUGGUAGAAAAAGAAAGAGAAUGACUACAGCGGCGCUUCCGCCGUACUCACUCUGAGAAAAAGUGAGUUGCUUCUCAACUAUAAUUAUAAUCAUGAGAAACCCAGCAAGGCCACGAGAGAUGUAGAGAAACUUGUAGAAGACCUUGAGCUCGUUCUCCUGUCGAGUCACCUUCAUGACUCGGAUGGUCCGAAUAAAUGCAAAAGAUAUAUAUAGCGGCAGGUAGCCAACCUAUGAGCAAAAUAAGAACCUUUGUGUCAUUUCUAUAGAAGGCAUGAUAUAGCUGUGUGAUGAUUGCACCACUCAGCCCAACAUAACCCUUCAAUAUCCCCAACACCACGCCUCGGCUCUCCGGGAAGUUCUUAACUCAGGUCACCAGCGAUCCGGUGUUGGUAAAAGCCUGGGAAUUUGCACCGAUGCAUACGUAGAGACACAUGUGCCAUACUUGGGGCUUGGCUAUUCUCCGAGUCACGCCAAGCCAUAUCAUAAAGUAGCCAAAAAAAAUCAGGACUGCGCCAACUGAUAGCACAACCCAUGGGAGAGUAAUCUCGUUUAUGAGCCCUGGAAGGAUCCCAACGUUUGCUCCCAAGUCCUUGAAAAAGCUGAGUAAAUUCAGGGUGGUUCCCAGAACAGAUUUGAGUGUGCUUGUGUAGAGACCGAACAUGUAGGUUGUACCGGCGGCCGACAUUAUCAGAAAUGAUGCAAAUACCACUGACCACCGGGCAGUGAUGACUUGGAGGGAUAGGCUCCUCAUGUCAACCCAACCACCCCCCUCCGGCAGCAAUGCCAGCAACCACCAUUUCCUCUGUUGGAAUUCUACACUUCUGACAAGUUUGUGUCAGAAUAUAUUGUCUACGUACUGCGGGUAGUACACUAAAUUUAUGUACACUGAUUCAAGAGAGAACAAAUUAAGAUUUGGGUUGUUGACUUAGCAGUGUCAUGUAAAGGAAAAUGAGUUGAAGGGAUCAGAGAGAUAGGGUAGAUGGUUGAAAUUUGAGGCACACAUGGAAGGUUAGGAGUUUUAUGGGUCAUGCAAUAAUUGUUGGCAAUUAUAGAGAAGAUAAACUCAUUUGAGUCUUAUCCAUUUCAGAUAAGGGCACAUUUUAAACCAAAGAAAAUGGAUCAAAAAAAUAAAAGAAAAGUAAAAGAAAAAGGAAAAAGGAAAAAAAAAAAUCAAAUCAAAUUACUGAAAAAUGUUCUUUCCUUAAGCUUUCUGUGCCUUUCUUUCUUGAGAAAAUGAUAUUUAAUAUUUUCUUCACUCUUUUUUCUAUAUUUGAUUUUUAGGAAGUAAAUUUUUUCUUAUAUUUUCUUUUCGGAAGGUUUAAGAAAAUAAUUUUAAGAAAAUAAUUUUAAAAAAAUAAUAAAUAAAAAUUUGAAAAAGUUGAAGGACAAAACUAUUAAAUUAAAAAAAAAAAAUAAUUUCUCCCAAAUUUUAUCCACAUUUUUUUUAAGGAAAAUGGAUAGAAAAAAGUCUCUUUAACAUUUUUCUUAUAUUAAGAAAGUUUUGAAGCGUUUUUAUAUGGAUAAAGUGCAUCCUUUAAGUUCUUCAAUGGUUGUCCGAUCACUUAAUGUGAAAAAUGACUCAUUUCGUCCUUGCGAAAAAUAUGAAGAAUUACUUGGUCCUAAAGUACCAUAUCUUAGUGUUAUUGGUGCACUUAUGUAUCUUGUCAAUUGUAUACAUUCAGACAUUACUUUUUCUAUCAAUUUAUUAGCAAGAUACAGUUUCGCUCCAACUUGAAGACAUUGGAAUGGUAUCAAACAUAUGUCGCAUUAUCUUCACGAAACUACUAAUAUGGAUCUAUUUUACUUAAGGGAAUCAAAGCAACAAUUGUUUGGAUAUGCAGAUGCAAGAUAUCUUUCAAAUCCAUAUAAAGGUAGGUUACAAACCAGGUAUAUGUUUAAUUAUAAUGGUACUGCUAUUUCAUGGAGAUUUAUCAAACAAACAAUGGUUGUCACACCAUCAAAUCAUUCAGAAAUACUAAAAAUUCAUGAAGCAAGUCGUGAAUGUAUAUAACUAAGAUCUAUGAUCUAGCAUAUUCGGGAAUCAUAUGGACUCUCCUCUAUCAAAGGUGACCCGACAAUAUUAUUUAAAGAUAAUGUUGCAUGCAUUGCACAGAUUAAAGAAUGAUACAUUAAAGGUGAUAGAAUUAAGUAUAUAUUGCUCAAGUCUUUUACUUUCAUUAACUCCAAAAGAGUGAUGAAAUUGUUAUUCGACAAAUAAGAUCAAGUGGCAAUUUAGUAGAUCUAUUCACAAAGGCAUUGUCAACUACUGCAAUACUCAAGAAGCUCAUUGGAAUACCAGACUCAAAAAUCUUCAUGUUGUGCUACUAAAGAAAAUAUAAUCAUGUCUACAUGAGGGGGAGCUAAUUGAUAAGAAUAUCAUUACGCUACACUCUUUUUUUCUUCGUCCAAGUUUUGUCCCAUUGGGUUUUACUGGCAAGGUUUUUAACGAAGCAGUUAUAGUAAUCCAAAUAAUAUUGUACUCUUUUUUCCUUUACUAGGGUUUUUUCUCAUAGUGUUUUUCCUAAUAAGGUUUUAAUGAGGCAUAUUUUUAUGAUCAUCUAAGGGAGAGUGUUAUAAAAUAUGAUAUUUUGUACCACUAUGGUAACUUGUGGAUGAUCAUUCAUAAAUAUAUUUUGUAACUCCCUAUGAAAGGGAGAGACUCCUAAUGAAAUUAAAUUGAUUUUUCUCGUGCAUUAUAUACUCUCUUUUUUGCUUUCUUCUUCUCUUACUCUGUUUUACAACAAAAAACUAUUUUUUAUUUUACUUUAUUUUUAAAAACUAUUUUCAAAUAACAACGAUUUAAUAAUGUUAGGAAUCUUUAAAUAUAAUUUUUUAUUUUUAAAUUACAUGGCCAGACAAGCUGUAAACAAUAACAAUGACCUAUUUAAGAGUGUCAUCACAUGGAAAAAUGUUCACAAAAUUAUGAAGUGAAUCAAGUUAAUUCUAGCUUUUGAAAUUUAUGAAGAGUAUAACACAUGUAAAAAUUAAAAAGUUAGUUAGAUAAGAUUACUCAAUACUUGAAUCCUUUAAUCCAUCAAACUUUACAGUUGCCAAGGACUAUGAGAAUAUUCAGUUUGAUAUUCUUCUAUUAGAUUUCUAUUUAACAUGACUUAUUUUUCCAAAGUGAUAUUAAGGAUUCAAAUUAUUUUAAUAAUUUGAAUACAGAAUGAAAAGUAUCUUUCAUGUACACUUGUUUAUUCCACAACCAUUGCAAGUGAUAACUUUUAUGCUGGGCUUAAAGAUUAGAUGAGCCAUAAAUAUGAGGUCUUAGACUCAGAACCAUAAAUACCAAACCUAAAGAAUAGAUGAACUCCCCUUAAAUCCAAGAUUUGGAAUCAAUGAAGAGAAGCAUAGCACGCUAAUAAUGAAAUCCUAUAAUAAAAACAAAAACCAAAAAUUUUGAGUAUUCUAAAACAUUUAUUUUCCAUUUUCUUAAGAAAAAGGUAUAGAGAAGUCGAGGGAGAAUAUUUCUUUGAUGACGAAAAAGUUUUUAUAAGUUUUUCCUCCUUUCCUUUUAUAUUUUCUAUCCAUUUUCUUUGGGUUAAAUUUUGACUAAAUUUCUAUUAAAUUUAUUUGAAAUGGAUAAGACUUAAAGAGCUGAUCUCCGCUAAAUGUGCCUACAGUUAUUGCGUAUGUGAUACAGCAGCCUUCCAUGUGUGCCUCAAAAUUCAACCAUUUUUCUAUUACAAGACAGUGCGGAGUCGGCAGCUUCUUCUCUCUCUUACUCAGAAAAUCGUGUGUAUAAAUUGACUGGGCACCUCAAGUUUGUAAAGUGUAAACAAUAUAUUCUAACACAAACUUGUUACAAGUGUAGUAUUCCAUCAGAGAAAAUGGUGGUUGCCGGAAUUGCUGCCGGAGGGGGUGGUUGGGCUGACAUGAAGAGCCUAUCAGUCCAAGUCAUCACCGGUCGGUGGUUCGUGGUGUUUGCAUCAUUUCUGAUCAUGUCGGCCGCCGGUGCAACCUACAUGUUCGGUCUCUACUCAGGCACAAUCAAAUCCGCUCUGGGAUAUGAUCAAACCACCCUGAAUUUGCUCAGCUUUUUCAAGGACUUGGGAGCAAACGUUGGGGUCCUUUCAGGCCUCAUCAACGAGGUCACGCCCCCAUGGGUUGUGCUAUCAAUGGGAGCAGCCCUGAAUUUUUUUGGCUACUUCAUGAUAUGGCUUGCCGUCUCUCAGAAAAUAGCCAAGCCCCAGGUGUGGCACAUGUGUCUCUACAUAUGCAUCGGUGCAAAUUCCCAGGCUUUCGCUAACACCGGAUCUCUGGUGACCUGCGUUAAGAACUUCCCGGAGAGCCGAGGCGUGGUGUUGGGGAUACUGAAGGGGUAUGUUGGGCUGAGUGGUGCAAUCAUCACACAGCUCUACCAUGCCUUCUAUGGCAAUGACACCAAGGCUCUUAUUUUGCUCAUAGCUUGGCUGCCUGCUGCUAUAUCUUUUGCAUUUCUUCGGACCAUUCGAAUCAUGAAGGUGAUUCGACAGGAGAACGAGCUCAAAGUUUUCUACAAUUUUCUUUACAUCUCUCUUGGCCUCGCUGGGUUUCUCAUGAUUAUAAUUAUAGUAGAGAAAGAGCUGACUUUUUCUCAGAGUGAGUACGGGGGGAGCGCCGCUCUAGUUCUUCUCUUGCUCUUUCUCCCGCUCGCUGUUGUUAUACAAGAGGAAUUCAAGCUGUGGAAGAUCAAGCAAGAGGCCCUGCGUGAGCCUCCACAGUUGAAAAUCAUCGCCGAGAAUUUGAACACUGAGACUUCUUCAUCUUCACUACCGCUUGAAUCAACAGCUGCAACAAGUUCUCUCCCCGAACAACUAAGCUCACAGAAGGAAGUUUCUUGCUUCUCCAACGUGUUCAGGCCACCGGACAGAGGAGAGGACUACACCAUACUUCAAGCCCUUUUCAGCAUAGACAUGCUUAUUCUAUUCUUCACUACAAUUUGUGGUGUUGGAGGGACUUUAACAGCCAUAGACAACUUGGGACAGAUUGGGAGUUCACUGGGGUACCCCCAGAAAAGCCUGAGCACUUUCAUAUCGCUGGUUAGCAUAUGGAACUAUCUUGGAAGAGUAACUGCAGGCUUUGGAUCGGAGAUCGUCUUAGACAAGUACAAAUUCCCCCGCCCUUUGAUGCUCACACUCAUCCUCCUCCUCUCAUGUGUUGGCCAUCUCCUCAUCGCCUUCAACAUCAAGAAUGGUCUCUACUUUGCAUCAAUAAUUAUCGGGUUUUGCUUCGGUGCUCAAUGGCCAUUACUUUUCGCAGUCAUAUCUGAAAUUUUUGGCCUCAAAUACUACUCCACGUUGUACAAUUUUGGCUCAGUGGCUAGCCCAAUCGGUUCCUAUUUACUCAAUGUGAGGGUGGCCGGAUAUCUCUAUGAUAAAGAGGGAAAAAGACAAAUGGCAGCCCUGGGAAAAAAAAGGAAGCGUGGUGAGGACUUGGACUGCACAGGAGUAGAGUGCUUCAAAUUGUCUUUCAUUAUAAUCACAGCGGCCACACUUUUCGGUUCACUUGUAUCGCUCAUACUAGUGCUUCGGACCAGAAAGUUCUACAAGGGUGACAUUUACAAGAAGUUCCGGGAACAAGCCAAAGCAGCCGAGACUGAGAUGGCCCAGGCCGGGAAUGGGGCAGCCCCAUCGCUGGCAAAAGGUUAGAGCUGUCGGCAGCAGCAAUUAUGGUUAAGUUAAAAAGACUCAGAAAAAAUAGAAUGACAGUAGAGGAAGAUAAGACAAAAAGAAGAGAUACAGGACCCGGGACCUUGGAUUGUAAUGUUUCAUACCCUCCCCCGUCAGAUACAAUCUUACAGAUGCUUUUAUUUUGUAUUUUAUAUGUCAUUGAAUUUGGAGAAGAUGAAAUUUGAAAACUUUACAUUGGGUGAAAUGGGUAUU
RNAcentral lists this long non-coding RNA (28179 nucleotides) under Vitis vinifera (wine grape). Its description in RNAcentral is "long non-coding RNA (VVIN_LNC004097)". Lineage: Eukaryota; Viridiplantae; Streptophyta; Magnoliopsida; Vitales; Vitaceae. The record is from RNAcentral.